Molecule: long non-coding RNA, 1109 nt
Filed under: Marmota monax (woodchuck)
Lineage: Eukaryota; Metazoa; Chordata; Mammalia; Rodentia; Sciuridae
Source: RNAcentral
CAUUGAUACAGGCUAAAAGCUGGGAGAGAUAAAAUGAUCCAGGAAGUUCUCUCUUUGCAUGAUCCAGGAUAUGCAUGAACUUCAUCUACCACAUUUUCAUUAAAUAAUGCCUGUUCUCCACUAAGAAUUCAAGUUUCAGUUACCAAGGUCUAUUCAUCAUUAACUGUAUAAAGUACAAACUCCGCUACACACAAAUCACUACGUAAAUAGCGAAUGCACAUCAGGAUCCCUGGACAACAAGUCACUUCCUAGAGACAGGGAUGGGCCCCUAUGUGUCUGUGGUUGUCACCCUUAGAGAGCAAGGCGAGCAGCUAUGUUUCCUUCUUAUCUCCCAGUGAUUCUCCCUGGUGAUAUUUCUGCAAGGGGCUAUCAAAGAAGUGAAUUGAAACAGAGAUGAAAGUGCAGGAGGAAAUGAAAAGUGACGGUGCUGGAGGUGCCACUUGAGUUCAGGGUGGAUGGCGCCACUGAGGACAGAGCUGAUGGGGCCACUGGGACACUGCAGGGUUUGCAGAGCCUCUGGGUCUGCAGCUGGGCAGGAUGCAGGAAAACACUUCACAUUAAAGAAACCUUCGGAGAAAUGUCCUGACGGUAAAAGGGCAGACACUACACUGUGGGGAAGGAAUCUAAACGUAGAAAGGAACAUGACAAGGUGCCACGUGUAGGAAAGAGAUGGUGAGCUGUGUAGAGGAAAGACCAGUGCUGUGGGCUGCCCUGGAUGAGUUCUGGAAGAAGCAGGGUGCUGGAGUCUGCGGUGUCUCUAAGGUUUUCAUUAAGGUGCACUGAGGACACGUCAGUUUUGUUGUUUUCAUUUUCCUGUACAUUCACAAUCGACUAUGGGAGAGAUUUUUAUGUUCUCACAAGCCUCUUUCAAGUUCUGGAAUGAUCAUUCAUGCUGAUAUUGAAACUGCUUCCCACGGCCCUGCGGGUGGGUGGUUUCCACAGUCCUCAUCUGCUGUGCAAAGACAGCUCGGCCUGGACUUCAUGUAUCGUGCAGAUUAGCACGAAUAUAUAUUUUUGUCCCCAUAUCAUGUAUCUUGACUCCCUCGUUAGAUUUUAAGCUACUUACUUGCAGGAAUAAGACCUUCUACAUUGCCCACUCCACCUGGCAU